CCUGUUACACGCUGUCUCGUCGUUUUACCUCAAGCAUUUCACGUGAGUCACCGCGAAGUUUCUGCAAUUUCCCCCAUUCUCGAGCUCUGACGCCAGUUCCAACCCUAGCCCUAGUCCUAGAUGCUCACAAAUCAACUUCGAAGACUAACCCGUUCAUGGCGGACAUGCCAUCGGAUAUUCUUAUCGAAGUCCUCUGCCGGCUGCCAGUCCGGUCGCUUCUUCGGUUCCGGUCCGUGUCCAAGCCAUUGCGCUCUCUGAUCGACAGCACGGGUUUCAUUGAUCUCCACCUCAAGAACUCCAUAGAGACAAGCUCUAACCUCAGCAUCAUGAUCCGGAGGGACUCCGAGAUCUAUCUUAUCAACCUUGACGCCUUAAGCGAUGCCGUCUUGCUCGCUUACCCUCUGAUGUGCUACAGCAAUAAGAUCUUAAUCCUGGGCUCCACCAACGGCUUGAUCUGCAUCUCUAACGCGGCCGAAGACAUCGCUCUGUGGAACCCAUCGAUCAGAAGGCACAAAGUCUUGCCCUUUUUGCCCAUUGAGCGAAUCGAGUCGACCUGGCUGGGCACGCGGUCAUUCGGGUUCGGGUACGACCCGGUGAGCGAGGACUACAAGCUGGUGAGGAUUUUGCAGUUCAUCAAUUUGGAUAACGAAGGGUUUGUGUCCAAAGUUCAGGUUUAUAGUCUGAGAGCGAACGAGUGGAGAGACUCUGAGGAUAUGCCUUAUGUUCUGUGUUAUUGGUGGAAGAAGGGGACCUUCGCAAGUGGUGCUUUGCAUUGGGUGGUGAACCGGAAGUUCAACGUCAAAAAGCAUGAGGGUGAUCUGAUUGUCGCUUUUGAUCUGACGGUUGAGAGAUUUAGGGAGGUCCCAUUGCCCGAGUGUACGGAGGAGAGAUCGGAGGAGAGAUUUCGCAUUGAAGUGGGCGUUUUGGGUCUGUGCGUGUAUAUGAAAGCGACUUACCCAAAUGUUGGUAUCGAUGUUUGGGUGAUGAGGGAGUAUGGGGUCAAGGAGUCUUGGGCUAAGCUGUUUUCGGUUGCAAAAGCUGAGUCUGUUGGGUCGUACAAGUAUUUGAGGCCGUUGGCUUAUUCCAGGACUGGUGCGGAGGUUCUGUUGGAGCUUGACAAUCAGAGGCUUGCGUGGUACGAUUUGAGGAGGAAAAGGGUCGAGAAUGUGAGUGUUGGCGGUUUGCCGGAUUGGUUUGAGGCCGAAGUUUUUGUCGGAACUCUUGCCCCGGCCGCAGCGAGUCGAAGAGAUCAUGGGAAGAAGCAGAGUUUAGAAGAGGAGAAAAAUAAGAAAAAUAGGGAUGAUUUCCUGUCAGAGGGCUUCAAAUUGGUGCUAUAAGCAAACAUAAGGAUGAACGGAAGCGUGGAGAAGAUGUACUUUUGUGAAUUUGGAAGUGUGCCAUCUCGAAUUAAGGGCACCUUCUUCUUCACGUACACUUACAUUUCAGAAUGAAGUUCAGAGGGUAUUUAGUUCCUUCGAGAGGGUGAAAAGUAAAGGGAGAGAGCUAUGCCUGAUCAGCUGAGAAUGCUUGAAGAUGGGAGGAAACAAUAAUCCCAACGAUGUGUACCAAAUGCCUUUACUAGAAUGAGUAUACUUCUUCAGGUUUUUUCCUGAUUAAUGCCAUAUAUUGUCCAAUUGUGUAAGGUGUUGUGUACUCGUAGUUACUAUGGUUUUGAAGCAUGUAUAUACGAAAUAUGUUUGUAUUCCUCUCUAAAUCCACAAGGUUGUUUGACA
RNA transcript from Corylus avellana, 1733 nucleotides. It is a transcript of the gene named F-box protein CPR1-like, with no coding region annotated. Lineage: Eukaryota; Viridiplantae; Streptophyta; Magnoliopsida; Fagales; Betulaceae. The record is from RefSeq and is a predicted model, not a curated record.